Acinonyx jubatus (cheetah) is the source of this 2115-nucleotide long non-coding RNA. RefSeq lists it as uncharacterized. NCBI's taxonomy places the organism in Eukaryota, Metazoa, Chordata, Mammalia, Carnivora, Felidae. The transcript has 2 exons. The record is from RefSeq and is a predicted model, not a curated record.
GUCCUGUGAAUAGACCAUUUUCAGCCUAACGUUUGUAACGUAACACCAUAACUACAAUCAAGUUCUGCCUCUCCUAGGAGAAAUAGCAUGACUCUGCUGCCUGACUUCUGAGCAUGUCUGCCUGAACAUCUGAACACCCUGGUUGCUACCAGAUCAAGUCAUUUUGUCAUGUCCAUUAGGCCUGGUUUGCACUGUUACUGUGGCCAGUGUGAAAGCAAAGGUGUCAGCUUCCCGCAACUCUGAUCUCAAUCCUUCUGAUUUCCUUUAAUUUUUUACUGUGAUGGAUGCUGGAGAGAGUAUAGCAAAUCCCUUAAGAGCCUGGACUGUGACACCUGCAGUGUGUUCCUUCAUCUCUGGCCUUCCAUGUGCAAGGUUGUUUGCAGCAUUUAUGGACCUUUGGGAUUCCUGACUUACUGAUGGUGGAUUUACGGUAUAAUCCAAUGGUUACCCCAGUACAGGAUGCAGAAAAAAACUCACCCUAACACAGAACAUGUUCUCAUUAUGGUGGAAGCAACAGGCAUAGGCUGCUGAGAACCCAUAUGAAAAAUGCAUGAUGGGAUAGAUCUUGCUGGUUAAACUGGGGCAGAAGUCAGACUUCUUUCUGGAUUAUGCCCCGCUCACUCCUUUGGAAAAAAAUAUUAUAUUAUGGAGAGAGACACAAGACUCAUACUGGGAGAUUCUAAUGAAAAUUUGUAAUACAAGGAGUUUUUGGAACUUCUGAAAGCCUUGGUCAAACACGUGUGCCUUUAAGUUGAGUUGCAGACCUCUGUAUCCUUGCCCUGGUUUCAUUGAUAUUAUAACACCAAAAAAAAUAUUCUGAAAUAUCUGUCAUCCAGAUUAAUUUCUGUGUUCUCUAUAUCCUUGCUGCUCAACAUGUGGUUUCUGAACCGGCACUGUUGUAAUCUCUCACACAUUUGUUAGAAAGGUAGACUCUCAAACUUUACUGUAGACUUACUGUAUCAGAAAUUGCAUUCUCAAAUGAUCUCCUAGUCAUUGGAUACACAUUUGGCAAACAAUGAUCUAUAUUACCACAGCAUUCCAAGGGGCCAUAGGUACUCAGUAGGGAGUUGGUUCUGACAUCCAGUCAUAAUGAGGUGGGUGAGAAACUUCAUUAGCCAAUGAAAAAGAAUGGUUAAGUCAGAAGACCCUGAAAGGUUUUUCUUGUCCAUCUCUUAAGGCAAAUGCAAGCCAGAAGCAAGGAACAGCCUUGGGGAGGAAGAGGGCUUCAUAUUCCAAUGAAGACACAUUUGGAGUGAUCUUAAAUGAGAACCAAAUUCAUCAGCUUUAAUGAAAGUCUGAGAAAGUGAUGGAAUUUUAAGAUUAGUAUGAAGUAGGUGAACACUGUUUAAGAUUUUCCAUCUGGGUCUAGGGAAGAAUCUGGGGUAAUAGCCAUUUAUGUGCCACACUGCCUAAGAAUUCUUUGCUUUUGUGCAUGAACACUGUUUGCAGAAAUAAACCAUUUUCCUUUUUUUUUUGGUGUGUUUGUUUAUAUUUCAGAUAUAAUCAGGAUACUGAAAAAGGAUAGUAGCCAUUUUCCUUGGUAUUACUACAGAGAUCCCUGGUAUUUCUAUUUCAUAGUAUUUUGUAUGCUUUUUACUGCUGAGUUAGAAUGGCAAGACUCCCCACCUUUUUUUACUUUAAGUUACAUGAGGCCAACGGGUUUGUUGGUAGUGUUUACCAGCAGGGCUUUUGGAACCCGAUGGAACAAAUAGCAACUGCUACUUGUUUAUGUGCAGAAGGCAAGUGAUUCAUAUGUAGGAUAAAGAGUACUAUGGUGGUAGGUGAGCAGAGGCUUGAGGCGGCGCAGAGAGGAGGACCUCACUACCAUCUGAAAGACGACCAAGAUAAGUGGGGGUGCACCCACCCCAAUGGGGUGCUUCAGAAGAAGAAUGAAAUGCAGUGCUAAAAUAGAGAUAGUGAAGAGGAGGUGAUGAGAAAUCAGUAAUCAGUAGAAGACCAGAAUGAGCUUAAAUGCUGGGGCAUAAGAGAAAGAUAAAUGUCUCUCUUGCAGUCACUAUUUUGGUGACCAACAAACAAACAAACAAACAAAACAAAAAAACAACAAAAACCCUAAACCAAAACACACACACACACACACACACACACACACACACA